UUCUCUUUUUCUUUUUUUCUUUUUCUCAAUAACUAGUAAUUUAGAAAACAAUACAAUGCAUUGCCUAACUAAUUGCAGUUACCUGGGUAAACUUCAUAUUUUGCUUCCUUCUAUCAAAAGUUUGAAUGAAAGAAACAUCACCAUCCAGUCCUGUAACUAUCAAGUCUAAGUUGAUUAUGUUAUAAUAAAACAGUGCUUACUAAUUAAUAAAAUUGACUAAAACGCGUAUCUUGGCUUUUUCUUGGUUCUUUUCCAUAAUUAUCAUAUUUAAAAUGCAAGAUUCUCUUCAUUUUUCUUGUCAAAGGUUUCCUUGAUGUUAUCAAUUUCUCCAAGAUGUAUUCUUUAUAAAAGUAGGUUCUUUAAUUGUUUGACUCCAACUGACUCUGGGGUUAAAGGGUAAACAAACUUUUUCUUUUUCUUUUUCUUUUUGAGAGAAUUGGAUUGUGUUUACAUCCCCCUUCUUGGGAUGAUCCUUUGAUUUAGGACCCUUUUAUGGUUUAUAUUGUAAUAGAAUAUGGGCUGGAUAUACCAUUGAGAAUUUAUCUGCAGUUGGAUUCGAUGCUUCUAGUUGUAAUUGAAAUGUAUUUUGUGUUCCAUCCUUUCCUAUAUUGCUUUUACCCGCUAGGUAUUCUUGCAACAGUUUGGUAUUUUGUUACUUUUUAUGCGUAUAUUCCAGUGACGGAGCAAGAUGAAGUCCCAUGUCUAAA
RNAcentral lists this unclassified non-coding RNA (707 nucleotides) under Hevea brasiliensis (rubber tree). The record is from RNAcentral. Lineage: Eukaryota; Viridiplantae; Streptophyta; Magnoliopsida; Malpighiales; Euphorbiaceae.